RNAcentral lists this ribosomal RNA (253 nucleotides) under uncultured bacterium. Its description in RNAcentral is "partial 16S ribosomal RNA". It matches the Rfam family "Bacterial small subunit ribosomal RNA", at positions 524 to 776 of the family's 1533-position model. The record is from RNAcentral.
UACAGAGACUGCAAGCGUUAUUCGGAUUCACUGGGCGUAAAGGGUGCGCAGGCGGCCAAGUGUGUGAGGCGUGAAAGCCCGGGGCUUAACCCCGGAAUUGCACCUCAAACUACAUGGCUAGAGCAUUGGAGAGGGUAGCAGAAUUCAUGGUGUAACAGUGAAAUGCGUAGAUAUCAUGAGGAAUACCAGAGGCGAAGGCGGCUACCUGGACAAUUGCUGACGCUCAGGCACGAAAGCGUGGGGAGCAAAAGGG